RNAcentral lists this ribosomal RNA (755 nucleotides) under uncultured marine haptophyte. RNAcentral describes it as "bacterial SSU rRNA". It matches the Rfam family "Bacterial small subunit ribosomal RNA", at positions 543 to 1306 of the family's 1533-position model. The record is from RNAcentral. Lineage: Eukaryota; Haptophyta.
AUCCGGAAUUACUGGGCGUAAAGCGUCUGUAGGUGGUUUAGUAGGUCGAUUGUUAAAGCUUGAGGCUUAACUUCAAAACAGCAAUGGAAACUGCUAGACUUGAGUAUGGUAGAGGUAAAAGGAAUUUCCAGUGGAGCGGUGAAAUGCAUAGAUAUUGGAAAGAACACCGAUGGCGAAGGCAUUUUACUGGGCCAUAACUGACACUCAGAGACGAAAGCUAGGGUAGCAAAAGGGAUUAGAUACCCCUGUAGUCCUAGCCGUAAACGAUGGAUACUACAUGUUGUGCAUUAUGUACAGUAUGGUAGCUAACGCGUUAAGUAUCCCGCCUGGGGAGUACGCUCGCAAGGGUGAAACUCAAAGGAAUUGACGGAGGCCCGCACAAGCGGUGGAGCAUGUGGUUUAAUUCGAUGCAACGCGAAGAACCUUACCAGGACUUGACAUACUACAAAUUCUUUUGAGAAAAAGAAGUGCCUUCGGGAAUGUAGAUACAGGUGGUGCAUGGCUGUCGUCAGCUCGUGUCGUGAGAUGUUGGGUUAAGUCCCGCAACGAGCGCAACCCUCGUUUUUAGUUGCCAAUUUAUUGGGAUCUCUAGAAAGACUGCCGGUGACAAACCGGAGGAAGGUGAGGAUGACGUCAAGUCAGCAUGCCCCUUAUGUCCUGGGCCACACACGUGCUACAAUGGUAAAGACAAAGAGUCGCCAAUUCGCGAGAAUGAGCUAAUCUCAUAAACUUUAUCUAAGUUCGGAUUGUAGGCU